This 228-nucleotide ribosomal RNA is filed under the name uncultured bacterium. RNAcentral describes it as "partial 16S ribosomal RNA". It matches the Rfam family "Bacterial small subunit ribosomal RNA", at positions 568 to 796 of the family's 1533-position model. The record is from RNAcentral.
UGCGUAGGCGGGCUAAUAAGUCAGUGGUGAAAUCUCUCGGCUCAACCGGGAAACUGCCAUUGAUACUGUUAGUCUUGAGUUCGGUUGAGGUAGGCGGAAUGUGUAAUGUAGCGGUGAAAUGCUUAGAUAUUACACAGAACACCAAUUGCGUAGGCAGCUUACUAGACCGACACUGACGCUGAGGCACGAAAGCGUGGGGAGCGAACAGGAUAGAUACCCUGGUAGUCC